Bombus pascuorum is the source of this 304-nucleotide long non-coding RNA. RefSeq lists it as uncharacterized. Lineage: Eukaryota; Metazoa; Arthropoda; Insecta; Hymenoptera; Apidae. The record is from RefSeq and is a predicted model, not a curated record. The transcript has 2 exons.
ACAAUUCUCACUUUUAAGGCUGACACUUGUAACUUUGUAACCACGGUCGCUUGUGAGAUGAAUUGCUAACAACUAGAUAGCUCUGUUCAAGAUUAUCGCGUACAUAAGAACUUACCCAGAGUCGGCAAAAAAUGAAUGUUUGGCUUCAAACUUAACAUUCAUACUUUUGGAUCAUUUUAAACAUUACUGGUAAUCACGCUGGUGAUUUACAAAGAUGUUUAAAAUAAAGUUUGAAAGUUAUUUACUAAAAACUGGAGCGGCCACGUAAGUCUGUCGAAAAAUUAAUGGAAAAUUAUAAAGAUGU